GACGAACGCUGGCGGCGUGCUUAACACAUGCAAGUCGAACGGAAAGGCCCUGCUUUUGUGGGGUGCUCGAGUGGCGAACGGGUGAGUAACACGUGAGUAACCUGCCCUUGACUUUGGGAUAACUUCAGGAAACUGGGGCUAAUACCGGAUAGGAGCUCCUGCUGCAUGGUGGGGGUUGGAAAGUUUCGGCGGUUGGGGAUGGACUCGCGGCUUAUCAGCUUGUUGGUGGGGUAGUGGCUUACCAAGGCUUUGACGGGUAGCCGGCCUGAGAGGGUGACCGGCCACAUUGGGACUGAGAUACGGCCGAGACUCCUACGGGAGGCAGCAGUGGGGAAUAAUGCACAAUGGGCGGAAGCCUGAUGCAGCAACGCGGCGUGCGGGAUGACGGCCUUCGGGUUGUAAACCGCUUUCGCCUGUGACGAAGCGUGAGUGACGGUAAUGGGUAAAGAAGCACCGGCUAACUACGUG
Molecule: ribosomal RNA, 468 nt
Filed under: uncultured bacterium
Lineage: Bacteria
Description: partial 16S ribosomal RNA
Rfam family: Bacterial small subunit ribosomal RNA
Source: RNAcentral